Molecule: unclassified non-coding RNA, 372 nt
Filed under: Zea mays
Lineage: Eukaryota; Viridiplantae; Streptophyta; Magnoliopsida; Poales; Poaceae
Description: misc RNA Zm00001eb333310
Source: RNAcentral
CUGAAUCCGUGGGCGACCGGAAAUACUCGCUUGCUCCCCCUGUUUUCCUCGGUCGCCGGAGCGCGUCGCCUCCGAGCAGCAGCAGCAGUCCCUGGUUGUUCCUGGUGGUUCUUGCCUCCUCGUCUGGGUGGUGAAAUAGCGUCGUCUUCGCUGGAACCCACCUGCCUGCUCUUGCUCCGGUCGCGCAGUCGCGCUGAGGCUCUCACCACCGUCUGCUGGUGGUUGCCGCGGCGCCGCUCCUCCCUCGUGGUGGCGGUGGAGGACUACGGUCGGGGAUCGACGGCUUCUUCGUCCGUUGGACGCUCAGGUCUUCAUCGUGCUCUUCACCGGCACGCGGAAGAUAGCUUCGUCGUCACCAUUGCGGCAUCGUAA